This 1327-nucleotide ribosomal RNA is filed under the name uncultured bacterium. RNAcentral describes it as "bacterial SSU rRNA". It matches the Rfam family "Bacterial small subunit ribosomal RNA", at positions 53 to 1386 of the family's 1533-position model. The record is from RNAcentral.
ACAUGCAAGUCGAACGCGAGCAGCAAUGCUCGAGUGGCGAACGGGUGAGUAAUACAUAAGUAACCUGCCCUAGACAGGGGGAUAACUGCUGGAAACGGCAGCUAAGACCGCAUAGGUAUGGACACUGCAUGGUGACCAUAUUAAAAGUGCCAAGGCACUGGUAGAGGAUGGACUUAUGGCGCAUUAGCUGGUUGGUGAGGUAACGGCUCACCAAGGCGACGAUGCGUAGCCGACCUGAGAGGGUGACCGGCCACACUGGGACUGAGACACGGCCCAGACUCCUACGGGAGGCAGCAGUAGGGAAUUUUCGGCAAUGGGGGGAACCCUGACCGAGCAACGCCGCGUGAAGGAAGAAGGAAUUCGUUCUGUAAACUUCUGUUAUAAAGGAAGAACGGCGGAUAUAGGGAAUGAUAUCCGAGUGACGGUACUUUAUGAGAAAGCCACGGCUAACUACGUGCCAGCAGCCGCGGUAAUACGUAGGUGGCGAGCGUUAUCCGGAAUUAUUGGGCGUAAAGAGGGAGCAGGCGGCGGCAGAGGUCUGUGGUGAAAGACUGAAGCUUAACUUCAGUAAGCCAUAGAAACCGGGCUGCUAGAGUGCAGGAGAGGAUCGUGGAAUUCCAUGUGUAGCGGUGAAAUGCGUAGAUAUAUGGAGGAACACCAGUGGCGAAGGCGACGGUCUGGCCUGUAACUGACGCUCAUUCCCGAAAGCGUGGGGAGCAAAAAGGAUUAGAUCCCCUAGUAGUUCCCCGCCGUAAACGAUGAGUAUUAAGUGUUGGGAGUCAAAUUUCAGUGCUGCAGUUAACGCAAUAAGUACUCCGCCUGAGUAGUACGUUCGCAAGAAUGAAACUCAAAGGAAUUGACGGGGGCCCGCACAAGCGGUGGAGCACGUGGUUUAAUUCGAAGCAACGCGAAGAACCUUACCAGGUCUUGACAUCCGGAUAAAGACCUCAGAGAUGAGGGGAUAGAUAUAUCCGAGACAGGUGGUGCAUGGUUGUCGUCAGCUCGUGUCGUGAGAUGUUGGGUUAAGUCCCGCAACGAGCGCAACCCUUGUCGCUAGUUACCAUCAUUAAGUUGGGGACUCUAGCGAGACUGCCAGUGACAAGCUGGAGGAAGGCGGGGAUGACGUCAAAUCAUCAUGCCCCUUAUGACCUGGGCUACACACGUGCUAUAAUGGAUGGAGCAGAGGGAAGCGAAGCCGCGAGGUGAAGCAAAACCCAUAAAACCAUUCUCAGUUCGGAUUGUAGUCUGCAACUCGACUACAUGAGGUUGGAAUCGCUAGUAAUCGCGAAUCAGCAUGUCGCGGUGAAUACGUUCUCGGGCCUUGCAC